UCCCAGCGGUCCAAGUAGCAACCACAAUUAUUGGGUCUAAAACAUCCGUAGCUUGCUUUGCAAGUCUCUUGUGAAAUCCGGCCUCUUAAGGGUCGAAGAGCGAGAGAUACUGCUUGGCUAGAGACCGGGAGAGGUAAGAAGUACGGUCGGGGUACCGGUAAAAUGGGUUGAUCCCGUCUGGACUAACAACAGCGAAGGCAUCUUACCAGCACGGAUCUGACAGUAAGGGAUGAAGGCUAGGGGCGCAAAAGGG
This 253-nucleotide ribosomal RNA is filed under the name uncultured bacterium. RNAcentral describes it as "partial 16S ribosomal RNA". It matches the Rfam family "Archaeal small subunit ribosomal RNA", at positions 474 to 727 of the family's 1478-position model. The record is from RNAcentral.